UUAAAGGAAUUGACGGGGACCCGCACAAGCGGUGGAACAUGUGGUUUAAUUCGACGCAAAGCGAAAAACCUCACCCAAGGUUUGACAUACCAAUCGUAUCCCUAAGAAACUAGGGAGUCAGUUCGGCUGGAUUGGAUACAGGUGUUGCAUGGCUGUCGUCAGCUCGUGUCGUGAGAUGUCGGGUUAAGUCCUUUAACGAGCGCAACCCUCAUUGCAUGUUAAUUUUCAUGCGAGACUGCCCUGGUUAACAGGGAGGAAGGUGGGGAUGACGUCAAGUCAGCAUGGCCCUUACACCUUGGGCUACACACGUGUUACAAUGGCCGGUACAAUAAGUCGCAAUACCGUAAGGUGGAGCUAAUCUAUGAAAACCGGUCCCAGUUCGGAUUGGGGGCUGAAACUCGCCCCCAUGAAGUCGGAAUCGCUAGUAACCGUGAAUCAGCACGUCACGGUGAAUACGUUCCCGGGUCUU
This 469-nucleotide ribosomal RNA is filed under the name uncultured bacterium. Its description in RNAcentral is "bacterial SSU rRNA". It matches the Rfam family "Bacterial small subunit ribosomal RNA", at positions 901 to 1382 of the family's 1533-position model. The record is from RNAcentral.